Homarus americanus (American lobster) is the source of this 1290-nucleotide long non-coding RNA. RefSeq lists it as uncharacterized. NCBI's taxonomy places the organism in Eukaryota, Metazoa, Arthropoda, Malacostraca, Decapoda, Nephropidae. The transcript is spliced from 3 exons. The record is from RefSeq and is a predicted model, not a curated record.
GGAAACUACAGCGGGCCUAUUGGCCCAUACUGGGCAGUCCCAUUUACACCCAGCCCCUAUUGCUCAUAUAAACAUCCGACCUAUGUUUGAAGCUAUCCAGCUAUCUCUGUGGUUGUCGGUCACACAAGUUGAACUCCAACUAGGCCCAUCGCCAACUGGGACCAACUAGGAAUGGUGCAGUUUACGGCUCCAAUUGCUUGUUACUAUAGUGUUCAGACAACUACCAUAUUGCUGCCUCGCUGAUCAUGGUUAAUGAAGUUCCUCGUGUCAUUCGUCGAGGACGGUGACGUGAAGAUGUGAGAUAUGGGCCACAAGACGAAGGUUUGUUUUGGUUAACGGGUCUCUUGCUGCACCACAUUGAAAACUUUCUGCUAUAACAUAAGGUACAGUACAGUGUAUAUCUUUGUGGUUUUAGUUUUUAUUAAGGGUCUGGGAUCACCGUUUAAAAAUUCAAGUGAUUGUGUUAAUGACCUUUGAAAUAAUUAGAUAUUUAUGUAGAUUACGCUGUGCCCGUAAGUUUUAAAAGGCCUUUAUGGAUGGUCUUAAAUAUGCUGACCAUCUUUACUGUAUGAAGUUAGUUUCACAUUGUCAAAAUAUUUGUCAAAUAUGCCUGACCUAAUACCUUUGUCUUCAGCACUUGGGGUAAACAAAUAGUUUAAAUAUUCUACAAAGGUACAGGGUACUGCUUUACCUGAUUUUACACCUGGGUUCACAAAUUAGUUAUUUUUUAAAAGGCCUACAUAUGCGUUUUUUAAAUAUAGACUAUUGGGGUGUCGAAUGCAUGGAAAAGCCAGGAAACAUUACAAACAAAUGGGGUAUUUUAUUUGGGUUAAGUUAUGGUUAAAUAUAGUUUUUUGGCAUCAAUCUUGGCAUAAAUUAAUGCUGUACUGUAUAAUAGGUAAAUAAUUAUUGUACUUUUAGGAACAUUCCACAACAGUAAUGAUGAUAGUUCAAGUUAGUGAUCAAAUAUUACAGGUUAUGCCUACUGCCGUGAGUAUUGUCCAGUGAAUUGUUCUUAUAGUGGACUUGUUCCACAUUAAUAAAGAUUCAUAUAGGUGGAUAGUGGAGUGUUGACCCACGUUAGGUUAAGGUUGUCACCAGGGAGGGUCGCUAAAAUAUCUUCUGUGGUCCCUCAAUUAACCAACACAAUUGGUUCCACGGAGUCGUUUGUUAACUGAAUCUAUAUACUGUAGUGUUAUAUAUUAAUAAAAUAUUAAUAAAUAAACUUAAAAUAGUUAACACAAAAUAUUAUUGUUUAAAUUUAUUUUAGUAAAAUUGUAAAUGCUGUCA